Molecule: ribosomal RNA, 509 nt
Filed under: uncultured bacterium
Lineage: Bacteria
Description: bacterial SSU rRNA
Rfam family: Bacterial small subunit ribosomal RNA
Source: RNAcentral
GAUUAUGGCUCAGGAUGAACGCUAGCGGCAGGCUUAACACAUGCAAGUCGAGGGGCAUCGGGAGUAGCAAUACUUGCCGGCGACCGGCGCAAGGGUGCGUAACGCGUGAGCAACAUGCCCGUAUCAGGGGGAUAAUCCAUGGAAACGUGGUCUAAUACCCCAUAGUAAUUAUGUAAGGCAUCUUAUAUAAUUUAAAGCUUUGGUGGAUACGGAUUGGCUCGCGUGACAUUAGCUGGAUGGUAAGGUAACGGCUUACCAUGGCUACGAUGUCUAGGGGUUCUGAGAGGAAGGUCCCCCACACUGGAACUGAGACACGGUCCAGACUCCUACGGGAGGCAGCAGUGAGGAAUAUUGGACAAUGGAUGGAAAUCUGAUCCAGCCAUGCCGCGUGCCAGGAAGACGGCCCUAUGGGUUGUAAACUGCUUUUGUAUGGGAGCAAUAAGGGCUACGUGUAGUCCGAUGAGAGUACCAUACGAAUAAGCACCGGCUAACUCCGUGCCAGCAGCGGC